Molecule: non-coding RNA, 298 nt
Organism: Equus caballus (horse)
Lineage: Eukaryota; Metazoa; Chordata; Mammalia; Perissodactyla; Equidae
Source: Rfam
GGAUGUGAGUGCCAUCUGGCUGUGACAUCAGUCACCUCAUUGAUUGCCAGGUUUGAUUGAGCUGACCUGGUUGGCUAGAUGGUGUCCUCUUCCUUCCUCCCUCCACAUUCAUGUGCAUCCCCUCCCCCUGAAGCUGUGAGAUCAGAGAAGAAAACAUUCCGCAAUAGCGGAGGUCCGUUCUUUGGUCAAGGGCAUGUAAUUGCGUGUGUCCUCUCCCACAGCAUGAGGAGAAUCCCUCUACUAGAAUCAAGCACGCUCUCAAGAAGUAGUGUGACCCAGUAAGAGGCUGUCCUCUCCU